GACGAACGCUGGCGGCGUGCUUAACACAUGCAAGUCGAACGGAAAGGCCCUGCUUUUGUGGGGUGCUCGAGUGGCGAACGGGUGAGUAACACGUGAGUAACCUGCCCUUGACUUUGGGAUAACUUCAGGAAACUGGGGCUAAUACCGGAUAGGAGCUCCUGCUGCAUGGUGGGGGUUGGAAAGUUUCGGCGGUUGGGGAUGGACUCGCGGCUUAUCAGCUUGUUGGUGGGGUAGUGGCUUACCAAGGCUUUGACGGGUAGCCGGCCUGAGAGGGUGACCGGCCACAUUGGGACUGAGGUACGGCCCAGACUCCUACGGGAGGCAGCGGUGGGGAAUAUUGCACAAUGGGCGGAAGCCUGAUGCAGCAAUGCCGCGUGCGGGAUGACGGCCUUCGGGUUGUAAACCGCUUUCGCCUGUGACGAAGCGUGAGUGACGGUAAUGGGUAAAGAAGCACCGGCUAACUACGUG
This 468-nucleotide ribosomal RNA is filed under the name uncultured bacterium. RNAcentral describes it as "partial 16S ribosomal RNA". It matches the Rfam family "Bacterial small subunit ribosomal RNA", at positions 28 to 507 of the family's 1533-position model. The record is from RNAcentral.